UACGAAGGGGGGCUAGCGUUGCUCGGAAUCACUGGGCGUAAAGCGCACGUAGGCGGAUCGUUAAGUCAGGGGUGAAAUCCUGGAGCUCAACUCCAGAACUGCCUUUGAUACUGGCGAUCUUGAGUUCGGGAGAGGUGAGUGGAACUGCGAGUGUAGAGGUGAAAUUCGUAGAUAUUCGCAAGAACACCAGUGGCGAAGGCGGCUCACUGGCCCGAUACUGACGCUGAGGCACGAAAGCGUGGG
RNAcentral lists this ribosomal RNA (243 nucleotides) under uncultured bacterium. Its description in RNAcentral is "partial 16S ribosomal RNA". It matches the Rfam family "Bacterial small subunit ribosomal RNA", at positions 524 to 765 of the family's 1533-position model. The record is from RNAcentral.